This 636-nucleotide long non-coding RNA is filed under the name Physcomitrium patens. Its description in RNAcentral is "long non-coding RNA (PPAT_LNC012194)". The record is from RNAcentral. Lineage: Eukaryota; Viridiplantae; Streptophyta; Bryopsida; Funariales; Funariaceae.
AUUGCUUAUUAUCACACCAAAAAUUAUAUACACAAAUUCUUCUAAACUUGCUAUCUAACAACCACUGGAAAUCAGCUAUUACCUCAUAACAACAUAGUGAAUCAUAGUUGAUUUACCAUGGUCGUCAACUCCUAAGCUAUAUCCUGCCUUCAUUACUAUCAAACUAUCUCCACGUCCUCACAACACCAUUACUCUGAUUUCUUUUGAUAAGAAUGCCUUCACUUUGAAGCCUCCUCUAAAAUAGCCAUGUUGCUUAAAUCCGUCAACACUAGCCCAAUGCCGCAUUGUUGUUGCCUCUAUUUCAAUCAACUUGAGCUCCUCUAGAAUUUGCACCCCUUGUUUCUCUUCAUCUGCAAUCUUUUCUAUUAAUCUAGAUCUACUCCUAUGCUCCAUGACUAACAACCUCUUUUUGUUGUAAUCUUCAUCUUUUUUUUUCUUAGAUUCUCCCACUCACCCUAUAAAAUUAGUUCACAAUUUAAUCUUCUAAGCAAUUCGACACAAAUUGCUAUCCUAUCUUGUAAUCUCAAUUUCUUCUUGAGAACAAACUCUCUAAGCAACACACAUAUUCCUAAUCAAAUCUUUUAUCCAUUAGACUUCCUUGCCUAUUGCAUACUAUUCCCUUACAUUGCCUAGUCU